Molecule: ribosomal RNA, 459 nt
Filed under: uncultured bacterium
Lineage: Bacteria
Description: SSU rRNA
Rfam family: Bacterial small subunit ribosomal RNA
Source: RNAcentral
AGAAUCAACGCUGGCGGCGUGCCUAACACAUGCAAGUCGAACGAGAAAGUGGAGCAAUCCAUGAGUAAAGUGGCGCACGGGUGAGUAACACGUGACUAACCUACCCUUGAGUGGGGGAUAACCUAGAGAAAUCUGGGCUAAUACCGCAUAAUACCUUCGGGUCAAAGGAGCAAUUCGCUUAAGGAGGGGGUCGCGGCCGAUUAGUUAGUUGGCGGGGUAAUGGCCCACCAAGACUGUGAUCGGUAUCCGGCCUGAGAGGGCGCACGGACACACUGGAACUGAAACACGGUCCAGACUCCUACGGGAGGCAGCAGUGGGGAAUUUUGCGCAAUGGGGGAAACCCUGACGCAGCAACGCCGCGUGGAGGAUGAAGUCCCUUGGGACGUAAACUCCUUUCGAUCGGGACGAUUAUGACGGUACCGAGAGAAGAAGCCCGGCUAACUUCGCGCCAGCAGCCGC